GAUGAACGCUGGCGGCGUGCCUAAUACAUGCAAGUCGAGCGAACGGACGAGAAGCUUGCCUCUCUGAUGUUAGCGGCGGACGGGUGAGUAACACGUGGAUAACCUACCUAUAAGACUGGGAUAACUUCGGGAAACCGGAGCUAAUACCGGAUAAUAUUUUGAACCGCAUGGUUCAAAAGUGAAAGACGGUCUUGCUGUCACUUAUAGAUGGAUCCGCGCUGCAUUAGCUAGUUGGUAAGGUAACGGCUUACCAAGGCAACGAUGCAUAGCCGACCUGAGAGGGUGAUCGGCCACACUGGAACUGAGACACGGCCCAGACUCCUACGGGAGGCAGCAGUAGGGAAUCUUCCGCAAUGGGCGAAAGCCUGACGGAGCAACGCCGCGUGAGUGAUGAAGGUCUUCGGAUCGUAAAACUCUGUUAUUAGGGAAGAACAUAUGUGUAAGUAACUGUGCACAUCUUGACGGUACCUAAUCAGAAAGCCACGGCUAACUACGUG
RNAcentral lists this ribosomal RNA (497 nucleotides) under uncultured bacterium. RNAcentral's name for it is "partial 16S ribosomal RNA". It matches the Rfam family "Bacterial small subunit ribosomal RNA", at positions 28 to 507 of the family's 1533-position model. The record is from RNAcentral.